Molecule: long non-coding RNA, 5994 nt
Organism: Vespula vulgaris
Lineage: Eukaryota; Metazoa; Arthropoda; Insecta; Hymenoptera; Vespidae
Exons: 4
Source: RefSeq, a predicted model, not a curated record
CGGCAGUCUUCGUUCAUAUUUAUAUAUGCACCAUUGUCAUAUGAAGCAUUCUUAUUGGUCGCUUCAUUACCCUGUGAUUAGUCAACCGUUCAAUAGUACAUUCUCCGAGGACGCAUAUGUAUACAUGUACUUCGGCAUUUUACUAAGCUGCGAUUACAUAUCGUGAAAAAGAGGUUACUAUUUAUAUUCUGUGAAAAAAUAAUCUUGAAUGAUAUUGUUUGAUUUAUGCUUUCAUAAGGUUAAUUAUUAAAUUGAAAACAAUUUUCUUGACAAAUUAUCGAAUAAACAUAUUUUCUCCUACAUGUCGAAUUUAUGUCCAUACGGUGUAAAGAAAGAUGUUGUCAGCAAAGUUAGGAUUGAAAUGCAUUCAAUACAUCGGCCAUAUAAACUACUACUUCAUCAAGUUUCUGAAAAAUUGAGUGAAGGGAGAAGGAACGACAUUAAAGACGUUGCUACAAGAAAUGUGUUCGUUUGUAGAGUUCAAUAAUUUCUUGUCGAAAUUGUAUAAGCCACGAACAAUGUUUCAAAUUGGCUAACCACAAGGAUAAUGAAAAGAACGGAAACAUGACUUCAACGGAGAAAAGAGAAUCUGUCAGAGAGAUCAUGUUUUGACGAAAAGACUAUCAAGGGUUGUCUCCCAGACUGUAUCAUUGAUCAACUAUUAGAAUAUUAUGGUUAAGUUAUACGAUACAACGAACAUAACCUAAAUGUUAUAAAAAGAGCCAUUUGUACAACUUUCUUCCAUAUAGUAUCGGUGGAUGACAAUUAACUUCAAAAUUUUUCUUCAAGCAAUUGCUGUAAAUGUAAAAUAAUUGGAGCAGAGCUUUAUUUACAAGAAUGUCUCGAGAAGAAGGUACAAUGUAAAUGAAUCAUUCAAUAACGUCGUGUGAACAAGUGUACCAAAAAAUGUAUUUGUGGAAUCUCGUACAUUGAAACUUCGUAUAUAUGAUGCCGUCGUCACAUUUACUGCUGGUAAUCCAAGCAGAUAGAAAGAAUUAGGAAGUAAAACGGCCAUACUGGAAGGAACUGAACAAGGAGCAAGUUGACAAAGAAGAAAUACAAACAUAAAUAUUGUCUAACAAAUCAAGAUUUUUAAUAAGAUGAAAGAAAAUUCAUUUGAGUAAUACAGAAGAAGAUGAACAUUAAAGCAAUGAAUAGUUUUGACUGUUGUUUUUACUAAAAAGAAAAUUUUUAUUUAAAUUAUUUUUUAUAUGCAAUUUCUGAAAAGCUUUAUUUUUUUAAACAAAUCUGUUUUCUCAGGAACUAUAUAAGUACGUAAGACAUAUAUAAUAACUUAUAAUAAGACUCUUAAUUUUUUUAUAGUUCAUUUGUAACAUUUUUUUGAUAUUAAGUUUCUAGAAUUAUAGAGAUAUAGUAUAAAAUAAACACAGAAGUAUUGAGAAAGAUGGAAUGUAAAGAAGAGAGAAGAAAGAUUUUGUCUUAAUUCUUAAUAUAUGUAGUUCAAUGAAAAUAAAAGAAUAAAUAUACAAAGUAUAUAAGUAACCCAUGAAAGUUUCAUUAAAUUGAACGCAACAGUUCUUCAAAAAAUAGAUCAUGAAGUUAGCGAAUUUAACGUUAGUGAGAUAGGUCUAUAAUUCUAUUUCGUGCUACUAUUAUUUUUUGCACAAUUGCAACUUGAAAGUGCGUGUAUAUGUUAUUCAUAAUUUCCAAUGGUUAUGAAUAAUGACAAAUCAAAAUUGUAAUUAUAAUAAAUUACAGUGUUAGAAUUGCAUGUUUUUAGGUAGUUUUCUAUAAUAAACUUAUUAAAAUGACCGAUGGAGCAAAUCCAAAACAUUAUCUGGAAAGGUAUUAUUUUAUUAAUUUAACUCGUACAAUCUGAUAUUAAAAGUGAAUUAAAAACCUUAAUGUAGAAAGAAGAGAGGAAACAAUAAGUACGAUAGAGAAUCACAAAAUGUCUCUACAUUUAUGUUCACAGAUCAAUUUGUAGAAGUAGAAACAAUAUUAGUUCCAUUAAAAAAGAGUGAAUAAGAAGUUUCUUUUCAAUUUGAAUAUUGACAAUCUCACACUCAUUCAGAAGUCUUCUUAUGGUCAAAUUAUAUUCAUUAUUAUAAUAAUAGUUAUAUAAUAAUAAUUAUAUAAAUUAUAUUCAUAAUCCAAACAACAGAAUUUAUUGGAAAAUUAUUGAUCGAGAAAUCAUUGAGGACAGGCCAUAGUAUGAAACGCAUUUAUCUCUUAAGACAUUCAAAAAAAAAAGAAGAACGCUUUAACGUAAAGAGAUGAUUGUAGAUUUAGUGAGUCGUUUACUUGUGAUCCCAUUUUUAUUCUCGUAUUCUUAUUUCAUCCUGAAUGAACUUAGAGAUUUUCUUAUAAUAUAUAUUUCUUUGGUAGGCAGUUAUAAAAGUACAACUCAAAUUUACUAUCAUUAGUUUUAUAUGAAAGAAUUUAUAAUAUUUGAAGUAUAACGUUAGAUCAGAUAUAAAUCAGAUAAGAUAUAGAUAUUCAUAACAUAUAUCUUGGCUCAUUGAAUUUAAAAAAUAUAAGGCAUACUCAUUUCAAAACAGUUUUCUUUUUUUUUUUAACGACAAUAUUUCUGCCUAAAUUUUCAGCUUGACGUGGUUUUAUUUCACCAAGAAUGACCAUCUGAUGUAGCCAAACUUUAUAAAAUGUCAAAACUAAAGGUGCGAACUUCGAUUUUAAUUUCUGUCUGAAAGAGAAAUAGUAAGAGAUAUAGAGAGAGACACAAAGAGAUACAGAGAGAGUGAGUGAGUGAGAGAGUAAGAGAGAGAGAAAGAUAUCGUUCUUCAGCAUUGGAAGAGGGAGAUAUGUAGAUAUCGUAAGAAAGGAAGUGAUAUAGAGUAUUAUUGUUUUUCUUGACCGUAUGAAAGGAAUAGGAAGGAUGUACGAAACAGUUAGAGAGUGAGAGAUAGAGCAGAGUAUAGAGAGAAGCAGUAAAUCAAUAAAUAUUUUCAUUAGUAUUUGUAAUAAAAUAUCAGUAAGUGGUAUAAAUGGUCAAUAUAAAUUAAAUAAUCAAAUAUAAUGUUGUCAGAAUUUAUUGUACAUGCUUAUCUUUCUAUAUAAAAUAAUAAUAAAUUAUUACAUUUGCAAUUAUAUUAAUUAAAAUUCUUAUAGUUUUCUAAUAAUCGAUUUAAUACUGACCGGUUAAUACUACGUAUUGAUAAUUUAUUAUUAACUAUGACCAUUAAUUUAUUUAAAAUAACGAUUAAAAAUGUUGAAAAAUAUUGACUUAAUAUUUAGAAACUUUAGUUAAAAUAGAAAUAGAACUUCGCUUUUGCCAUUCGAUAUCAUGCGAUACACACGAGCAGUUGUAUUUUUUUAUUUUUUAUAAAAUGAAUGCACUUCUUAUCUUUUAAUUUAAUCUAAACCUUUCGCUCUAGAAAUAUCGUAUAUUACGGUUAAAUCGAAAAAGAUAUAAUAUCAUGAAUUCUUUUGAUAUGUGUAACUAAUAAGGUACUAACUCGACCAAUCACUAAUUCCAUAAAAGCCUCUAUAUGUCUCUUAUCUCUUUGUUUGUGUCCUUGAAUAUAUGCGUAAAUAGAGCAGUUGUUUCGUAUAAAAACAAUUUUGAAACGGACGAUUGUUCAAAAUCUCAUUUAAUCUUUCGCGACAACAAGAGAUACAUUAUUUCAAGACUGUUAGAAUUCGUAGAUGUUAGAGUUUAGUUGGUCGAUAAAUCGUUCAAACAUGUUGGAACGUCGUACGUCGAGUUUGUGAUGUGCCAAACGCUUCGUAGGACAGAGAGGGAUGAUGAUAUUGUAGGAGAGUACAUCUGCGAUUGAAAUUCAAUCGUUCGAAAUUUUGAAAUAUAACAUUCGUGCGUUAUCAAAACUAGCUCGAAAUGAUUUUGUGCGUAACAAAAAAAAAAAUCUUUUGCGCCACGUGGAAAUGACAUAUCACUCAUUUUGAGCGUACACUCCAAAUACCGAAUAAAUUUGAAACGUUCGAAUCGAUAUCUUGUCUCUUAUAAGGAAUGAAAUAUGAGGAUAAAGCAGAAAUACGUCAUCGAUCUAGUUGAUUGACGGAUCGAUCAAGUCGAUUAAAAGAUCACAGGCCUCAAGCAAGAAAAGAUAAUGAAGGAAUAAUUACGUAAUUCCAAAGGUUUAUAAAGUUGAAGUAAUUAACCUGUGAAACCAUGGGGAAUGGAUUUUCAAUAAUCCUCCGAGAAGGAAGAAAGAUAAAAUGGGACUUUCCCGUUGAGAAUUUAUGAAAGAUUGGACAGUAUGGAUAAAACGUAUUAAAAAUGGCGGAUGGAUCAAAUUAUGCGAAGAAUAAUUUCUAUUUAUUAGAAUUGAGAACAAUCAAUAAUAUUGUCAACAAGUGAAAGACAGGAGUCUUUCAGCGAUAUCCUUUGUCCGUUUUAAGCCAAUUUCAAGAUUUUAAUUUAACAAUGCGCCGAUUUAUGGACGUAAUUUCCAACUAUUCGAAUUUCCAACAUCGAACGUAUCAAGAGAAAGAAAUGAACAAAACGCGUGUUCGAAAUGAGAGAGAUAACGAGUUAUGAUAUGAGUUAAAUGUUGACAAAACAUUGAUACCAGAAAUUCUCUGAUGCAAAUUAUUGUAUCGAAAAAAAAAUUCGUUUGUUUGAGAAAGAAAUUCUCGGAAGAAAAUUCGUGCUCUUGUAACAGAAGAUUAGUUCCAAUUGCUUCAUUGAUACGAUGUUUGAAUGGUUUUUGAACAGAUGAUGUUUACAUCAAGGUAUUCUUAAGGAAUGAAGAUAUUUCUAAUGAUAUCAAAAUACCUUGGAAUGAUAAGAAUUAACAGUCUCCUUUUCAAUUAAUUAGGGUAGAUACAAAAGUUUAUUUCAUUCAAUCAAUCGCGACACAAUAUUAUCCGCUAAAACUGACCUUUACGUCCAUUACAUUUAAGUUCAUUACGUUUUAUUUACAAUUAGCUUAGCGAUAAACUUAUAUAAUAUAUUUUCUUAUACAUAUGUACAUCAACGUAAUUUUCUUUAUUUUCGUCAGACAGCACCAGGAUUAAAUACAAGUAAAUACGGAAUUAUAGCUAAAAUUACGUCCAGAUCAUUAUGUUUUAUCGAUUAACAACGCAAUAUAUACAUAUAUAUAGACAUACAAAACAUUUGUAGGGUUGAUUCUAAUAUUUUUUAAUAAUUACGAAUGUUUAAACGAAGGUACUCUCUACAUAUAGAAUGUACGUAGGGUUAAUGGAUGCACGUGCGCACGCAUGUACAUGUAUGUAUUAAUAUUGAUGAAUAACUGUAAUGGGCCUAUAUCCGUAUGUAAUAUACAUGUAAAUAUUUAGCAAAAGUUAAAAUUAAUCCCUUGCAUUCAGCGCCGGCUCGGACGUAAGCUUCGUUUGACAUAUUCGUAUUUGCUUAAGAUGAAUUAGUAAAUGUUGAAGAAUAUAUGCUUUUGCAAAACAAUCAAAAUAUUAUUUCUUAUAAUUUUCCGGGCAGUUUUGAAGGAAUACUUUCACACCAUUUUCAUCGAUAUCAUCAUUUAUAAGAUUUCUUCGGUUUCUGAUCGCUCUGAGGGAACAAGCGAAUGCGAAGGGUUAAAAAAAGAUUAAAAAAUAAAUUAAAAUGAAAAGAGAAAAAAAGAAAAAAAGAAAAAUAGAAUUGAAAAAGAAAUCAAAACCUAUAAAAGGGAGAAAACAAAAAAGAUAAAAAAGAAAUUAGAAUCGAAGGAAAGAAUAGAAUCUAAAAGGGGAAAAUAAAAUUAUAAAAAGUUAAAAUCAGCAAAAAGAAAGAUAAAAUAAAAAUUAAAAGAAAGAGAUUAAAGGAGAAAAAAUAAUAAUACUAUGAAAGAAAGAAAAAAAAACAUACAAACAAGUACGUAUCGGGAAAUUGUACUGAUCUACCCCAUAUUUAUCCAAAAUGACAUCUGUGUAUAAUGCGCAUAAAUCUACGCGAUGUCGGUGUUAUAAGUGUAAACUGAAAUUUUCGUCGAUAUAUGGUUACUCUUUCAAUUACUUACGACAUUUCAAUAUUUUUAAUCUGCUACAGAAUUUAAUCUCAAUUUCAUCAACUUAGAAAUCUUGAUUAAAAGCGAGAAU